GACGAACGCUGGCGGCGUGCUUAACACACGCAAGUCGAACGGAAAGGCCCUGCUUUUGUGGGGUGCUCGAGUGGCGAACGGGUGAGUAACACGUGAGUAACCUGCCCUUGACUUUGGGAUAACUUCAGGAAACUGGGGCUAAUACCGGAUAGGAGCUCCUGCUGCAUGGUGGGGGUUGGAAAGUUUCGGCGGUUGGGGAUGGACUCGCGGCUUAUCAGCUUGUUGGUGGGGUAGUGGCUUACCAAGGCUUUGACGGGUAGCCGGCCUGAGAGGGUGACCGGCCACAUUGGGACUGAGAUACGGCCCAGACUCCUACGGGAGGCAGCAGUGGGGAAUAUUGCACAAUGGGCGGAAGCCUGAUGCAGCAACGCCGUGUGCGGGAUGACGGCCUUCGGGUUGUAAACCGCUUUCGCCUGUGACGAAGCGUGAGUGACGGUAAUGGGUAAAGAAGCACCGGCUAACUACGUG
Molecule: ribosomal RNA, 468 nt
Filed under: uncultured bacterium
Lineage: Bacteria
Description: partial 16S ribosomal RNA
Rfam family: Bacterial small subunit ribosomal RNA
Source: RNAcentral